Cygnus atratus (black swan) is the source of this 1003-nucleotide long non-coding RNA. RefSeq lists it as uncharacterized. The transcript is spliced from 3 exons. Lineage: Eukaryota; Metazoa; Chordata; Aves; Anseriformes; Anatidae. The record is from RefSeq and is a predicted model, not a curated record.
AGCCGGGACGAGUUUGCCCAGCGAGGGCGCAGGCCCACGGCAGCCCCAGCCUCCCUGCCAAAGGUCGGGGAGAUGCAGCCGGGUGGGGACCCCUGCCCUGUACCCAGCUGACGUCCCCUUGGUGCCGGGGCUGGCGGCAACAGAGAAGAGCCCAAAGGAGGGACCAGCAGCCUUCACCGAUAACACUGCACUUUACGUGGGGUCAUAUAGGCAAGAGUCAAACCCGGAGCAUAAAAACCCUCCAGCAUCCCGGCAGCACAGGGCUGCCAGGGCAGAGACACUGAAAGGGGACUGCUGCAGUGGCUGUCUUUCCCCUCCAGAAAAGGGAAAAGCUCAGCCAAGUGUCCAGCUGAACCCUGGAGAGGUUAUACACAGCAACUGGGACAGCUGUCUGCUGGAACGGCAGUGGUGGGGCUCAGACCCCCCCCCCCCAGGAGCAGCCCCCCCGGGCAGCACCCCCAGCUGGGAGGAACCCCCGGAGUUGGGGGCACCGAGCACGGAGGGACUGUCCCAUCCAGUUCCCUGCUCGCACCGCUCCGGCUGCCCCUGUCAUGCAGGCGUGAUCUCUUCGGAAAGAUGCAGAUAUAUAUAUAUAUAUAUAUAUAUAUCAUCAUCAUCUUUAUUAUUUUUAAUUAUUUUUUAACUCCCCUUCCUCGGCUAAAGGCUGCGAGCAGCGCAGCCAAGCGCAGCGUGGGGUCACGUCGCCUUUCUCCCCAGCACCACAGCGGAGAGAAACCUUGCCGUCUGAGUCACCCUCUGGUGCGUGACAGCUGUCCCCAGUUUGCCGUGGGAGGCACAUGACCGCUCGCUGCUUUUCCUCGCCGAAUUGCUGACGGAUCGGGGGAGGAAUGCAGAAGUCGCCCUUGCAGCGCGGGCCGGUGAGCGGUGUCACGGCGCGUUGGGACGGACGCCAAGGCUCAGAAGCCACUCGCCGGAGUGACGGCGGGCUUCUCCGGCCUGACGAAGCACUUCUGAAGCCUGAAGAAAAGUGGGGUUCCCCUGC